Molecule: ribosomal RNA, 406 nt
Filed under: uncultured bacterium
Lineage: Bacteria
Description: partial 16S ribosomal RNA
Rfam family: Bacterial small subunit ribosomal RNA
Source: RNAcentral
AUUGAACGCUGGCGGCAGGCCUAACACAUGCAAGUCGAACGGGUGGCGGACGGGCGAGUAAUGUAUGGGGAUCUGCCUGAUGGAGGGGGCUAACUACUGGAAACGGUAGCUAAUACCGCAUACCAUCAGAUGAACCCACAUGGGAUUAGCUUGUAGGGGAGGUAACGGCUAACCUAGGCGACGAUCCCUAGCUGGUCUGAGAGGAUGAUCGGCCACACUGGGACUGAUACACGGCCCAGACUCCUACGGGAGGCAGCAGUGGGGAAUAUUGCACAAUGGGCGCAAGCCUGAUGCAGCCAUGCCGCGUGAAUGAAGAAGGCCUUCGGGUUGUAAAGUACUUUCAGUCGAGAGGCGUUACCGACAGAAAAAGCACCGGCUAACUCCGUGCCAGCAGCCGCGGUAAUUC